ACCAAUUCUGGCAAGAAGAAAGUAACAGGUUAAAGAAUAAGUUAAAAGUCUGAGGUCACAAAUUCUAUUCUAAAGAAGCUCUGAAUACCUCGAGCAGAUGCCACAAGCAAAGCUUACCCUAGGAAGUAGAAAAAGCAACAACAACAAACAUAUAACAAAAGGUGUCGAGGCACACUCAGGUGGUCCCCAACACACUUGAGAACUGGAGGAAGGAGGAUCAAGACUUUAAGGUUAUCCUUGGCAACAUGAGACUCUAUCAAAAAAGAAAAGAAAAGUGUAUAUUUCACUAGAUAUCUGUAACAACCUUGUGAGGGGAACCAGAAGACUUGAAGACAAGAAAAACAUAAAGACGGAUUACAAACCUUUAUAUGCUGGAGCAGGUGGUGCUGUUGCCACUUUCCUGACUUUUGUUGUCACUGAGUUAUCAACA
Long non-coding RNA from Mesocricetus auratus (golden hamster), 430 nucleotides. RefSeq lists it as uncharacterized. NCBI's taxonomy places the organism in Eukaryota, Metazoa, Chordata, Mammalia, Rodentia, Cricetidae. The transcript is spliced from 3 exons. The record is from RefSeq and is a predicted model, not a curated record.